UACGGAGGGUGCAAGCGUUAUCCGGAAUCACUGGGUUUAAAGGGUCCGCAGGUGGGUUAUUAAGUCAGUGGUGAAAGUCUGUAGCUUAACUAUAGAAAUGCCAUUGAAACUGAUGAUCUUGAGUGUAGUCGAGGUUGGCGGAAUAUAUCAUGUAGCGGUGAAAUGCGUAGAUAUGAUGUAGAACACCUAAUGCGAAGGCAGCUGACUAGGCUAUUACUGACACUGAGGGACGAAAGCGUGGGGAGCGAACAGG
This 253-nucleotide ribosomal RNA is filed under the name uncultured bacterium. Its description in RNAcentral is "partial 16S ribosomal RNA". It matches the Rfam family "Bacterial small subunit ribosomal RNA", at positions 524 to 776 of the family's 1533-position model. The record is from RNAcentral.